Long non-coding RNA from Magnolia sinica, 916 nucleotides. RefSeq lists it as uncharacterized. The record is from RefSeq and is a predicted model, not a curated record. Lineage: Eukaryota; Viridiplantae; Streptophyta; Magnoliopsida; Magnoliales; Magnoliaceae. The transcript has 3 exons.
UACAUACUUCCCGCAAAUUGCAGUACUAUUUCUCACCCAUAAGAUUAUAAAUAGGCCAUGAUCCUCUCAAACUCACUGCAUUGAGACAAAAUGAGUACAAAGGCCUUUCUUGUUUUAUCCAUGUUCUUUAUCUCCCUUCUUCCCAUCCCUUCCAAGACAGCUGCCAGGGAAACAUUACAGAAUUCUCAAACUCUAGAAGACACCCGAAUCAACCGUUCGUUCCUUGAACCUGACUGACACAUCUAUGGCAGUCCUGGACGAUCGUUCCUUGAACCUGACCUACCCAUUUAUGGUGGUCCUGGACGAUCCUGUCCAUAUAGGUGCGGCAGACCCUACUUACGCCCCGGAUGCAGAACAUAUCCUUGCAGACGGGUGGUCUCAGCUCUGCCACCUGAGCAAACGGGCACACCACCGCCGGUAUGAUGCUACGAAUAACAUAUGGUUAGUUUUCAUGUAAUCCGAUGUUAAUAAUGGUAAUAAUAAUAAUAAGUUGAUUAGAUAGAGAGGUGAAUGUAGUGAAUAUAAAGACUUAGUUCUGCAUGGUUUUUUGCCCUUCAAGUGGGGCUACAAUAACAAGUUGUCGUUGCCGUUGUAAUAUUUGUAUGGGAAUGAAGUUACUUAUGGUUUUCUUUUUAAAAAAAAUCCAUGGUUUUAUUUUUGGAGUUGGCAAGCCUACCAUUACGUGUGUGGGUCGGCCAUGUGCACAGCCACUACAAAGAUGGUUGAGACUGUCCAACUUUUGGGAACUAUCAUGGACGGAGCACUAUCCAAAACUUAUGAUGAUUGGACUACUCUUCUUGAUAGGUCUUGGUGGAUAGGGGCUCUCUUGGGUGUAGCUUGUCUGAGUUUGGUGGUCCUCUUUUUAUCAUUUCUGGAUUUCCCUCUGUGUGAGUUGUGUAAUAUUUGGUAUAUGAUA